Long non-coding RNA from Lonchura striata (white-rumped munia), 455 nucleotides. RefSeq lists it as uncharacterized. The record is from RefSeq and is a predicted model, not a curated record. Lineage: Eukaryota; Metazoa; Chordata; Aves; Passeriformes; Estrildidae.
GUGCUGCGGCGCCCGGGAAGUGCCAUCGGGCAGGUCGGACCGUCGGAAAGGAAACUCGGCCCGGGGUUGCCUAAUUGCACCAGGUUUUUCCAUCAUGGGUCUGAAAAGACCAUCAAAAUGCUCUGUGAUCUCAGGUGUCGAGGAUCUGACAACUUGAUCAGGAAAAGCAGCUACAGGAUCUGAGACAGAUGUUACUCUUUUCUUGCAUGAUUUGCAUGGCCAUCACAGGGACAGAUGGCUUUAUUUGUGAAACUUCAAUGCCUGAUGGAAGAAUGCCAAAGAAAAUUCCUGUUUCCAAUCCCAAUGUGAGUUUCCAUAAUUGAUAUUAGAAAAAAAUUAGUGUUAUACUGACAAGGCUCAAUUAAAACACUGAUCAGUAUUGCCCUUCAUUAUGUGAAUGUGAAUGCAUAAAAAGUGGGACACUGAUGAUGGUAAAUAAAGAACUGGCAGAAGAA